This is a long non-coding RNA of Bombus pyrosoma, 550 nucleotides long. RefSeq lists it as uncharacterized. The record is from RefSeq and is a predicted model, not a curated record. NCBI's taxonomy places the organism in Eukaryota, Metazoa, Arthropoda, Insecta, Hymenoptera, Apidae. The transcript has 2 exons.
AAUGGGUAUCAUAAAAAAAGUUUAUGAACUAAACGAUCUAUUGGGGCGUUGAAUGACGUCCGUUACGGUUACGAGCAAUAUUUAUUGUAAUUACAUUGUUUAGCCCGCUAAAAAGACUGUUAUUGUUUGAAAAGGGAGGCGAGUUCUCUCGUGGAAUCAACGAAGUACUCAACUUUAAAACGAUAACUGAAGAACAACAUUAUUGUAUCGAUAAAAACCAUGCUUUUUUCGCAGAAAUACGUAACUCGUAUUUUUUUUAAAGCAACACUCAUAACGUAUUGAAUAAAAUUAUCAUACACUUUUUUUGUCCAAUAUUUGUAAAAUACGAUAUUAUCAAGAUCACCAAGGAAGUAAUCUCCAAUUCUUAAUGAAUAUAAUAAAAAACAUAAUUAAUGAUCUUUUGAUGGUUUUUUUAUUAUCUCUGUAAUACAAAAACGCAACAUGGUGUCAACAGUUUAUAUAGUUCGUAUGUUUCUGUAGGAAUACAGAAAUAAUAAUUCUCUAUCGCAACGUAAUCUAAAGGGAAAACCCUAAUUAAAUGACAAAAAUA